UACGGAGGGUGCAAGCGUUGUCCGGAAUUACUGGGCGUAAAGCGCACGUAGGCGGCUUUGUAAGUUAGAGGUGAAAGCCCGGGGCUCAACCCCGGAAUUGCCUUUAAGACUGCAUCGCUUGAACGUCGGAGAGGUGAGUGGAAUUCCGAGUGUAGAGGUGAAAUUCGUAGAUAUUCGGAAGAACACCAGUGGCGAAGGCGGCUCACUGGACGACUGUUGACGCUGAGGUGCGAAAGCGUGGGGAGCGAACAGG
This 253-nucleotide ribosomal RNA is filed under the name uncultured bacterium. Its description in RNAcentral is "partial 16S ribosomal RNA". It matches the Rfam family "Bacterial small subunit ribosomal RNA", at positions 524 to 776 of the family's 1533-position model. The record is from RNAcentral.